UCACCCCCACCGUCCGCUUCCUCAUCGAUGCUCGCCGUCGAGCGCCCAUGGGCACACUGUGGCCGACCGCGCCAUAAUGGCGUUCGGCCGCGUCUCUCCUGCGCUCCCUUGGCCGCCUCUUCCCCAUGAGCUCUCCCUCCUGUUCCCUCUCGCCGCCUUCCCCCCGAGCUCAUGCGCGUGGGCACGCGUCCGCGGCGCCGGACACGCGUCCGUGGCGAUGACAGCUCGGCACCUUGCCGCGUGCCUAUAAAUGGCCUUUCCCGAGCUCUUUGAGCACAACACCAGCCUCACCCCACUCCAGCAAGCCUCCCUGACCUUUUCCCCGAGCUCGAGCAGCUCUCCUCGACCCCCAUCGCCGCCAUGGCCGCCGCUCUGCUCGGCUCAAAUUUGAGCAUGGCAGCACUCCUCCCCUCCCCUUUCCACCACAAGUAGAUCCUCCAGAUCAUACCGAACCUCCCCGUUUUAUCCAUUUCUCCCCGGAGCCAGCGUGGCCGCGCGCCACCGAAGUAGUCUGCCGCCGUGGUUCUCUGCAUCCAUGGCGCGUCAUCGUUCCACACCUCUCCGGCGUGCGUGUGGCCACUGGAUGGAUGCGUCUCGUCUCCCUGACCAUCCCGGUGGCCGGUGCGCCGCCGGAGGUGGCCUGUGGCGCCGGAGCCCGUCACCGGUGACGCGCCCUCCCCUGCCUCCUCUGUCCCGUGCGGGAGCAGGGCGAGGAAGAAGAAGACAGAGGCCAGGCGGGCCCUCUUCUCCUUGCGGGCCCUGCCUGGCAGCCUCAGCGCGUUGACCCCAGGUGCCAGCAUGGAUAAGUGACACACCCCGGUCCCACCUCAGCCGACUGGAUUAAGUGGAGGCGUACUCGGGCAAGUACGUUUUAAUCUUCGGGAAAGCGCAUUUUCCCUCUGCUUCAGCUCAAAGGUCUUGUUUGUGAUGAUAUUUUUAUAGAAAAGUCCCUGAACUUCAACCCUUCAUAUGUUUUUAACCACAACUCCAAAUGAGGUGAAUCCAAAGCCCACUUUUUCGUCUCGUCGAGCCCGUUCUAUUGGUUACAUUUUCACUAUGGUUUGACACUGUGAAAAUGACCUUUUUUCCCUUCCCCGUAAAACAGCCCCUCCGAGAGAGAACUGUUUCCGGCAAAUCUUUCUGCGGCUUCACCGCACUUCUCCCCGGUGCCUUCUUCAUCCCCAGGCAAGCCACAAUACCCACUAGCAUGGUAGUGAUGCAGUAUCCAUGGUUUUCAACUUGAAUAUUUAUUAAGUGUUUGAUUGCUUAAAAUAUGGUUAUAGUUGUUUCGGUAAUGCUUAUGGGUUCAUGCUUACUUACUUGCUAUGUUGUUAUGCACUUGGUUGUCAUGCCCUGCUAGUUGCUAGUAUUCUUUAUGCUUAUGCUUGCUAGUAGUAUAUGUUGAUAGUGGUGACGGUCUUCGGUGCAUGACUGCCGUCUGUCCCGAGUACUGGUGUUAUGCAUGUUCCGUUGCAUCCAAUUGGUUAAAUGAUUGCAUGGCAGCUUUAUUGAUACGUCUUGCAUGAUAUUUAUUGUUGAUGGUAGUGGUCAUGCUAGGUUUCAAUGAGUAGUAUGUACUUAUGAGGUUCAUGCUAGUCAGUAUGCCAUGUUUAGUUGGAUAUAAUUUAUUGUUGAUAUGGUGGAUAGUUAUGUGGUUCUCUCAUGAUUAUGUUGAUAUCAUGCUCAUGCAUUGUAAUUGCAUCAUGUUAUUUUAUCAUGGCUCAGCAUAUUCCAUUCAAGUUUAACCGGAUUAAAUUGAACUUGAACAACUGUUGGCUGAGUCAUGGUGCCACCAUAUCGAAACUGACAUGUGCAACCACGCUUACCUUUAUGGGAAGGUCCUAACUGGGUCUAUUGUCGUGCCUCUCGUCAGUGCCUCCAACGAGGGAAGGUUACGGGCGCGCGCUACCCUGAUCAGGUAGCCGGACAUAACCUUGUGUCCCCAUUGUUGUUGAGUAUGGAUCCUCGUCCCCGUUUGGGACCGUUUCGUCACGACGGUGGCCGUUGGUGCCUUUGGUAGGCACAGGGCCACCCAGGACCUAGCCCAAAGGGGAGUUGGUUGGAGUGGCCGUGAGAGUGUCAUGGCAGUAGAUUGGUUAUGUCGGAACGCCGUGUCCAUACGUAUGGGAGUGCGAGACCAUGGGUUUCGUAGUGUGGGUACAGUGCACUACCUCUGCAGAGUGUAUACUAAAUCUAUCGAUAGCCGCACCCGCGGAUAAGGGCCCAGUUCGUGGCGGUCCCACCAUGAGUCAACAGUAUUAAUAAUAACUUGAUUAAUGACAACCCCGGUUCAGUGAUGAAAUAAGUUGGUUGUGAUCGCUGGAAGGAUCACCGUUUGAGAUAAGUUGGUUGUGAUCGCCGGAAGGAUCACCGUUUGAGAUAAGUUGGUUGUGAUCGCCGGAAGGAUCACCGUUUGAGAUAAGUUGGUUGUGCUCACCGGAAGGAUCACUGUUUGAGAUAAAUUGGUUGUGAUCGCCGGAAUGAUCACCGUGGUAUCGAGGAUACCGAGUUGUUGGAUAUUUGUGAUGUUGUCUGAGAAUCAUGGGUAAAGAUCAAGAUCCUUGUGGUCAUUUGGUGAUUACUAUGGUAUUGUUUAUACCAAGCUUGAUUUGAUCCUGAGAUGGUCGUGUGAUGACCGAGGUUGGUAAGUGAUGCAUGUGCUGGUUACGAGGUAACUCGAGUAGAAUAAAUGGUGCAUGUAGUGUCAUGAUGUUGCAUGCUAGUAUCAUCAGAUUUAUAUGUUGUUGCCAUGAUCAUAUUGUUCUAGCAGUAUUAUGUUCAUGUUGUUCAUGCCAUGUUAUUCUGAUGAUCUCAUGACAAUUCCUGCUUAACCUGUAAUUUCCAUGUUGUUGUUUGUCUUGAAUGCUUCUGAUUAUUGUGAGCUUGCAAGUACAUUCAAUGUACUGACCUGGCGUGUCAUGCCAGCUUGUAGGUCGUGCCUGGAUUGCUUGCUUGUUUGGUGCUGUUCCUGUGUUCGCGAGCUAGGAUAAACAUUCCAGCCAGAGUCCCUGUGGAUUGGAGUCCUUCACCACCGUUGUCGUUGUUCUGCUGCUAGAAGUUUUUCCACUGCGUCGAGUUGUUCUGCUGCUUGCAUAGAGCAACUGAGGAUGGCGUAGUGUCACCGUGCCGAUGUUAUUCAUUGUAAUAUCGGAGACCUUGUAUUCAUAUUUGUGUAAUAAUAGAAAGCUGGUUUGUUCUAUGCUAAGCUGUGCCGUAUUCCAGAAGACUUCUCCUCGAUCUCUGGGCUGGAAUACGGGGCGUUCCUGUUUCUCUGAGCCGGGGUGCCACAAAUGAUCUACACAACAAUGCAUAUCCGACAAGUGAUGUACACAUAUUAACCACUUUCUUGCUCAAUGAUUUGCGCACCA
This is a non-coding RNA of Triticum urartu, 3368 nucleotides long. The record is from RefSeq and is a predicted model, not a curated record. Lineage: Eukaryota; Viridiplantae; Streptophyta; Magnoliopsida; Poales; Poaceae.